This 1752-nucleotide long non-coding RNA is filed under the name Mus musculus (house mouse). Its description in RNAcentral is "HEATER_TCONS_01569350". The record is from RNAcentral. Lineage: Eukaryota; Metazoa; Chordata; Mammalia; Rodentia; Muridae.
UUCUCUUUGACUCUUGUUUGUUGUUUGUUUUAGUUACUCCCCACCCCCACCCCAGUCUGACCUUUCUUCCACCCUUAGGGUUUUAGAGUUUUUCCCCUUUCCUUUCUUCUCUCCACCUUUCUUUUAAAAAUGAGAAUGAAACCUAAAAUAAUCCCAGAGUUUAUUAGACAAAGUUGCCCUAAAGAAAGACACUCACACAGGAAAUGGAACCUGUGGUGUUUGCUAGGAAAACGCAGAAUUAAAAACAUCAGCGUGAAAGUCGAUCUUCACAGCCGCCCUCGGAGACCAUCAGGACAAGAAAGGACAAAUGAGGUUCAAAGGGGGUGGCCUGAAGCUGCACUGCCUGCUAGCAGGCACUCAACAUGCUUUGUUAGUGUGGCUAUUAUGCUCCCCAGAUUCCAGAAUGUUCUGUGCCACCAAGAGUGUAAACAGAAGGAAAUACCCCUCUGUCUCAUGCACCUUGAUGAUCACGCUACUUAAAGCUAUCAUGUAGUAGAAAGGAACAGAGGAUUCCUAAGUGUGGAUGGCUAGAACUUGAGCAGACCACUUAAGCGACACUGAGCCAAUCUUCUCAUUCCGGAAUUUGUGAAUAGUUUUCUACCACUAGAUUGUAAAGGGUUAAAUGAGAGAACAGGCUAGAAAAGUACUUUGUAAACUGUAAAGUUCCAUUCCAGGUAUGGGGUAGAGGAGAUGUUAUCUGGUUUAGCAGUGGAGUGCAAGAUCAAACGUAGGUUAGAGGUGUGUGGGGGGAGGGGUGUUAAAAAAAGAAACUUAAAAGACCUCCCAGGGAGAGUAGCGAAGUUACAAACUUCCACACUGUUUCCCCUGCAGGGAACACUCACCCGGGCACAAAGGCAGACCCCAUGGGUCAAUCCCACCUUGAACAAAUGUACGCCUUUCCAUUUGCUACAGCUGUCUGGUGGUCAGAGGUGAAGAGCAGACCAGACAGCUGGCAAGACAUGAAACAACGAGAUGUAGGUAUCACCUUAAAAAAAAAAAAAAAAAAGCACCUGUGGGAAAUAGUGUGCGAUCGAAAAGCAGCAGCAAGUGCUUGGGGCAUUUCAGCUGGAAAGUGAGACAGAGGCAGACCCAAGACAGAUGCAACCCACACCCUCCAUCUGCAAUCAGAGUGCCUCACAUGUCAGAAAGCAAGUUGUCCUCCCUCAGGGCAAUCUUGAAGGCUGUCAAUGUUCUAGCCAUGAGAAAACAAAAAAUCUAUAUAGGACAUUCCAACAUGUGGAGGCCUGAUAGGGCUGAAAGGCUCUAUGGGAGUCUAACUAGCGCAUGCUUCUCACUUGGUGGACUGGGGAUGGCGGGUGGGCUUGCUUCACUGGGGAGGGGAGAGCGGUGUCUGAACCUGCCUGGGGACCGGCCACUGCUUCUGAUCUAAGCCAGCAGAGCUGGGCAAACAACCUGGGUUCAAACCCAAUUGCUUCAAUAGCUACAUUGCUUAACUGCAGUGGCUGACAUGACUACCCUCCCACAGCUUCAGUUUCCUGGUCUGUAAAACAGGGGUGGGUGAGUAACAGCACUUUCCUCUGCGAUGGUGCAUGGCUCAGACUAAGUGAUACCUGAUAAGGCAAUUAGGAAGUGCCUGGCACCAAAGCAGCUGUCAAUAAGCAUUGGCUAUUACAGGACUGUUUCAGAAGGGAAGCUCGUUAGCUCAUCUGGUUCCUAAGGUCCAGAGCUGUGUGAAAACAACUAAAAUCUGCCCUGUACCGGCAAGCAUACCAACGGACCUUACACACUCAC